CCGCCGGCGACCGGCGCACGGGUGAGUAACGCGUAUGCGACCUGCCCGUUGCAGGGGGAUAAGCGGAAGAAAUUCCGUCUAAUACCGCGUAACAACGUUGGGAGGCAUCUCCCGAUGUUUAAAGAUUUAUCGGCUGCGGAUGGCCAUGCGGCGCAUUAGCUAGUCGGCGGGGUAACGGCCCACCGAGGCGACGAUGCGUAGGGGUUCUGAGAGGAAGGUCCCCCACACUGGUACUGAGACACGGACCAGACUCCUACGGAAGGCAGCAG
Molecule: ribosomal RNA, 269 nt
Filed under: uncultured bacterium
Lineage: Bacteria
Description: partial 16S ribosomal RNA
Rfam family: Bacterial small subunit ribosomal RNA
Source: RNAcentral